Molecule: long non-coding RNA, 1352 nt
Organism: Lycium barbarum (goji berry)
Lineage: Eukaryota; Viridiplantae; Streptophyta; Magnoliopsida; Solanales; Solanaceae
Exons: 3
Source: RefSeq, a predicted model, not a curated record
AGGCUUCCCUUUAAUCUCAACUCCGUCAAACAGGUUUACAUAAAUGUUGAUCUGUAUGGCUUGUCUGGGGUGUCAUCUGUUCUUUGCUUGAUAAGAAGUUUCCCAUAUUUACAAGAUAUGGAAAUUCAGGAGGCUUAUUGCAAAAAUGAUAGCAGAUCAUCGAUAUCAACGAGUGCAACUUGCCUUAGAUAUGAUGACUAAUCACCUCAGGGAAAUUAAGCUAGUGGCUCAAUCAUUGAGAUGCAGCUUGCCAAGCUUCUCUUAGCCAAAUCCUUUCUUCAUUUUGGACAAAUGAAAAAGAAAAGUAUAUUAAAAAUUGUGAUGGAGGGAGUACUUCUUAUACAUAACAUAUCAAUUCUUGAACACCCUUAUUGAAAUUUCUGACUUAUCGGUACAUUUCUACUGUACAUAUUUCAUUAAAUCUUGAACACUCUUAAUAAAAAAUUUGACUUCGCCACUAAGUACAAUUCUAUGUAUAUAUGUAUCUUCAGAAGUGGAGGCUGACUGACUUGGUACAGUAUGAUUCUUUCUGUUAGGUUGAUGAGAUACAACGGAACUGUUUGAUUACUUGUCGAAGACAGAAAACAGGUGCAUGAAGCUCUGAAUAUGAUUCGAAGAGUGAAGUUAAGAAAAUUCAAGGGGACAAGGACUGAAAUGUACUUAAUAAAAGUCAUCCUUUCCAGUUCUCCUAAACUUGCGAGGAUAGUCAUUGAACAGAUCUAAUAAAGUACCUUUCGAAGGAGUUGAUAAGCUAUCAUCAAGCAUAACCCAAGAAAUCAGCUAUUGGUUACAUAAUUACUAUUAUUCCGCCCGGUGUCCGGUACCCAAAAAGAGGUCAACUGAUCCAGAUUCGCGCCGGAAGUCCCACUUUGGGGAUAAAGUAUUUUCUACCAAAGAUGACUCCAUUCACAAGGCUCAACCCGAGGCUUCUCCCUCUGAAGUACACUUAGUAAUGCUAAAUAUGACAUUAUUUUUCAGUACGUAGUAAAACUUCUUGGUUGAUGUCAUCCAUAUUGUGGGAAUAGAGCAGGGCAAUAGCAGUGACACCGUGUGACCCUAUAGUAGUGCUAUUCAAGCACCGUCGCAGCUUUAAAUUUCUGCUGAAGUUGGGAUGCUCAACAAACUUCUAUAUGCUGGUCUGACCAUGUGUUUAAUUCGAUGAUGCCAAAGAAACAUUUCACUAGUUAUAUCCGGAAAAAAAAGAUGCUUUGAAUGAAUUGAUCUUUACAAAUAAUGCGUUUGAGCUGCUAUUCUGACAUAUUUUCAGGGGUUUUAUUUGUAUGUGGGUUGUGAAACCUGUAUGUUACUUAUCUUCAAAUUUGAUUAUAAGCUGCUAUUCAGACAUAUUUUCA